RNAcentral lists this ribosomal RNA (789 nucleotides) under Triticum aestivum (bread wheat). RNAcentral's name for it is "partial small subunit ribosomal RNA". The record is from RNAcentral. Lineage: Eukaryota; Viridiplantae; Streptophyta; Magnoliopsida; Poales; Poaceae.
AUGGGCGACGAGGCCAAGUACCUGGAGACGGCGCGGGCGGACCGCUCCGUGUGGCUCAUGAAGUGCCCCCCCGUCGUCUCCCAGGCCUGGCAGGGCGCCUCCUCCUCCUCCGGCGAUGCUAACCCUAACCCGGUCGUCGCCAAGGUCGUGCUGUCCCUCGACCCCCUCAGCUCCGCCGAGCCCUCCCUCCAGUUCAAGAUGGAGAUGUCUCAAACUAGUGUAGCCAGCACUUGCAAUCUACCAAAGAGUUACUCCUUGAAUAUGUUCAAGGAUUUUGUACCCAUGUGUGUUUUCUCUGAGACUAAUCAAGGAAAACUCUCAUGCGAAGGAAAAGUCGAGCAUAAAUUCGACAUGGAACCUCACAAGGAUAACUUAUUAAACUACGCGAAGUUAUGCCGUGAAAGAACACAAAAGUCGAUGGUUAAAACUAGAAAAGUGCAGGUACUUGAUAAUGACCACGGAAUGAGCAUGAGGCCCAUGCCUGGCAUGGUUGGUCUGAUAUCUUCUAGUUCCAAGGAGAAGAGGAAGCCAACGCCAACCAAACCAUCCGAUGUCAAAAGGACACGUAGGGAUCGCCGGGAACUGGAAAACAUUAUCUUCAAGCUUUUCGAAAAGCAGCCUAACUGGGCACUGAAGGCUCUAGUGCAAGAGACUGACCAGCCAGAGCAAUUCCUCAAGGAGAUAUUGAACGACCUCUGUAUGUACAACAAACGAGGGCCAAACCAGGGCACGCACGAGCUCAAGCCCGAGUACAAGAAGUCGUCUGAGGACGCUGCCGGUGCCCCGUGA